GAGUUUGAUCGUGGCUCAGAUUGAACGCUGGCGGCAUGCCUUACACAUGCAAGUCGAACGGCAGCAUGAUCUAGCUUGCUAGAUUGAUGGCGAGUGGCGAACGGGCGAGUAAUACAUCGGAACGUGCCCUGUAGUGGGGGAUAACUAGUCGAAAGAUUAGCUAAUACCGCAUACGACCUGAGGGUGAAAGUGGGGGACCGCAAGGCCUCAUGCUAUAGGAGCGGCCGAUGUCUGAUUAGCUAGUUGGUGGGGUAAAGGCCCACCAAGGCGACGAUCAGUAGCUGGUCUGAGAGGACGAUCAGCCACACUGGGACUGAGACACGGCCCAGACUCCUACGGGAGGCAGCAGUGGGGAAUUUUGGACAAUGGGCGAAAGCCUGAUCCAGCAAUGCCGCGUGUGUGAAGAAGGCCUCGGUGUAAG
RNAcentral lists this ribosomal RNA (421 nucleotides) under uncultured microorganism. RNAcentral's name for it is "bacterial SSU rRNA". It matches the Rfam family "Bacterial small subunit ribosomal RNA", at positions 9 to 429 of the family's 1533-position model. The record is from RNAcentral.